Long non-coding RNA from Ictalurus punctatus (channel catfish), 1154 nucleotides. The record is from Ensembl. NCBI's taxonomy places the organism in Eukaryota, Metazoa, Chordata, Actinopteri, Siluriformes, Ictaluridae.
CUCCUGGCCCGACUGUUCGGCUAACGAACGCGGCUCCUGAAUAAGACGCCGUGAGGAGGAAGACAAAGGCGAAAGUGGCCGAGACAAUGUCCUCGUGUGGGAGAAUUAGUUACACUCAGUAGUCCAAGUAUUCAACGCAGAGAGAGGAUCAGAGAGGAUUAGGAGCAAAGUCCACACAGGUGGAUGGUGGAAGAGUCCACACGCCACAAACCAUGCCUUGUUUGGAUACAGCAGAGUGAUGGGGGAGAUGUGCAUGACUCUCACACACACUAACACACGGUCCUCAUACACACUCUCACACACACUCAUACACACUCUCACACACACUCUAACACACGGUCUCAUACACACUCUCACACACACUCAUACACACUCUCACACACGCUCUAACACACGGUCUCAUACACACUCCUCACACACAACUCAUACACACUCUCACACACGCUCUAACACACGGUCUCAUACACACUCUCAUACACACUCAUACACACUCUCACACACGCUCUAACACACGGUCUAACACACGGUCUCAUACACACUCUCAUACACACUCAUACACACUCUCACACACGCUCUCAUACACACUCUCACACACACUCAUACACACUCUCACACACACUCUAACACACGGUCUCAUACACACUCUCACACACACUCAUACACACUCUCACACACGCUCUAACACACGGUCUCAUACACACUCUCAUACACACUCAUACACACUUCUCACACACGGUCUCAUACACACUCUCAUACACACUCUCACACACGCUCUCAUACACACUCUCACACACACUCAUACACACUCUCACACACGGUCUCAUACACACUCUCACACACACUAACACACGGUCUCAUACACACUCUCACACACACUCAUACACACUCUCACACACGCUCUAACACACGGUCUCAUACACGCUCUCACACACGCUCUAACACACGCUCAUACACACGGUCGCACACACACUCGCACACACACUCGCACACUCAUACACACUCUCGCACACACUCAUACACACUCUAGCACACUCAUACACACUCUAGCACAUGCUCUAACACACGGUCUCAUACACACUCUCAUACAAACUCAUACAUGCUUUCACACACACUCAUACACACUCUCAAACACACUCAUACAUACUCUCAAACAC